AGGAAUUGGCGGGGGAGCACCACAAGGGGUGAAGCCUGCGGUUCAAUUGGAGUCAACGCCAGGAAACUUACCAGGAGAGACAGCAGGUUGAGGGUCAGUCUGAAGAACUUACCUGACGAGCUGAGAGGAGGUGCAUGGCCGUCGCCAGCUCGUGCCGUGAGGCGUCCUGUUAAGUCAGGCAACGAGCGAGAGCCCUAUCGGUAAUUGCUAACUGCCCAGAGAUGGGUAGAGGCUAGUUACAGAGACUGCCGUUGAUAAAACGGAGGAAGGAAGGGGCCACGGCAGGUCAGUAUGCCCCGAAACUCCUGGGCCACACGCGGGCUGCAAUGGUAGGGACAAUAGGUUCCGACCUCGAAAGAGGAAGGCAAUCCCGAAACCCUACCCCAGUUGUGAUCGAGGAUUGAAACCCGUCCUCGUGAAUAUGGAAUCCCUAGUAACCGCGUGUCAUCACCGCGCGGUGAAUACGUCCCUGCUCCUUGCACACACCGCCCGUC
Molecule: ribosomal RNA, 494 nt
Filed under: uncultured crenarchaeote
Lineage: Archaea; Thermoproteati; Thermoproteota
Description: bacterial SSU rRNA
Rfam family: Archaeal small subunit ribosomal RNA
Source: RNAcentral